Small nucleolar RNA from Hippocampus comes (tiger tail seahorse), 83 nucleotides. The record is from Ensembl. Lineage: Eukaryota; Metazoa; Chordata; Actinopteri; Syngnathiformes; Syngnathidae.
AAUAUCAAUGAUGAUAUCUUGGCUCCCUCUACUGAACACUCUGAAGAGGAACGCCAUUGUUACCCAAUUGUGUCUGAGAUGUU